This 407-nucleotide long non-coding RNA is filed under the name Equus caballus (horse). Its description in RNAcentral is "lncRNA (ENSECAG00000049933.1)". The record is from RNAcentral. Lineage: Eukaryota; Metazoa; Chordata; Mammalia; Perissodactyla; Equidae.
UGGGCUGGCAUGCAGCUGUUCGUGUCAUCUCUUUUCCUCCAGCAGAAUGCCUACUACUAUCUCCCAGGACAGCAGCAUCUGCAGGAGCAGCAUCCAAGAAAGCAAGUAUAAACUCCAGACCUCCAUCUGAUACAAGCUCUCUGACCAAGCUGACCACCAGCACUAUGAAAACCCAGCCCCUGAACAACUUGAUCAACAGCUCACAAACAUCCCAGUUCCUCUAUUUCAACUAAUAUCCACAAGGGGUGAUUGGUACUCAUUGCACAGACUAGGUGACGCUUUAAUAGUUGCUCAUAUAAGUAGAGACAUGUUCGUAGAGUAUGGGGAGUGGGGAGAGGAGGUCUCCUUUGCAGGACAGCAAAGGCAAUAUUUUGUGACCCGUUGCAAGUGGACACUCACUCUCCUUG